GUUACUUUGGCAGAUUAGUGCCUUAAAUUUAGAAUUUAAUUAUGUAUAUUUAUACAGGUAAUA
RNAcentral lists this transfer RNA (63 nucleotides) under Margarinotus merdarius. RNAcentral's name for it is "tRNA-Leu". The record is from RNAcentral. Lineage: Eukaryota; Metazoa; Arthropoda; Insecta; Coleoptera; Histeridae.